GUAGUUGUAGCCGAGUGGUUAAGGCGAUGGACUUGAAAUCUAUAGGGGUUUCCCCCACGCAGGUACAAAUCCUGCCAGCUACG
Pseudophryne corroboree (corroboree frog) is the source of this 83-nucleotide non-coding RNA. The record is from the annotation of a RefSeq genome assembly. NCBI's taxonomy places the organism in Eukaryota, Metazoa, Chordata, Amphibia, Anura, Myobatrachidae.